AAAUGGAAGUAGAAGCACCCGCUUCUCGCCUUAGUGACAGAUGUGGCUGGGCAGAAUAGUUUUUACACAAAAAAGUUCGUUAGAGCUUAGUGUGGAUACGUGCGGGUUCUUAUAGAAGAACUCGUUUUUUUAUGGUGAU
This is a non-coding RNA of Tetragenococcus halophilus NBRC 12172, 139 nucleotides long. The record is from Rfam. Lineage: Bacteria; Bacillati; Bacillota; Bacilli; Lactobacillales; Enterococcaceae.